Non-coding RNA from Odocoileus virginianus texanus, 647 nucleotides. Lineage: Eukaryota; Metazoa; Chordata; Mammalia; Artiodactyla; Cervidae. The record is from RefSeq and is a predicted model, not a curated record.
AAUAAUGUUAGCAGCUAACAUUUAUGAAGCACUAUGUCAGGCACUGUUCUCAGGUUUAUUAACUUGUUUAGAGUUCACAAGAACCUUACGAGACGGGUCAUCAUUUGUACAUGAAGAAUCCAAAGCUCCCGAUACGGUGUUAUCAGCCAGUGACAGAGCUGGAAGAAGGUCAGAGCCCUUGACCACCUGCUCCCAAAUCCGUCAUUCUGCACAGCAUCCUGAAAGAUGGAGUUUCCUUACUUCUCUCCUGUGGUGUGUGAUCUCAUGAAACACUUAAUUAAAGCAUCAAGGGAUGAACAUGUGCCACAGGAGAAGCCAGUGGAAAACACCCUCACUGGAAUUUGAAUUGUGAGCAGAAUGAUGAAAAUGGCUGGAGUACUACUGCCAGGAUGACAAUAUUGAUCCCGUGGGGCAAUUGGAGCCACUGGUUAUUGAUCUUUACAAGACUGUACUUCAGGCAUCCCUUUAAUCCUCAAAUGAAGGAAGACUGCUUCUCAAUGACCCAACUAAGAAAGGAAAAGUUGAAAUUGUAUGUCAGUCAUUUGCAACUCAUCUUAAGGGAAACAAUGACCAGAUCAUUUUUUAAGGCACUUAGAUUUAAAUAGAACUUUUCUGGGGUCUGGCUUUUCUUAAAUCCUUGAAAAUAA